GAGAGGUGGAGGAACGACCUGUGCCUCAUUUGGAAUGUGAAUGUGCUGUGUGUUUCACCUCUCUGCCUUGCCCCAGUCUGGGGAGACAAGCUGUGCCUGUAAAUCUGGAAGAGGAUCAGAGCCAGGAAGUAUUUCAGGAGGACCACAGACUGAAUUCUCAACUCUUUAAUAAUUGCAAGGCCUAGCCCCCCACCCAGUGUGACCACAGGAAGAGAGAAGAGCUCUUGCUUCUGCCUAUGAUGAUCAUAAAUCAAAACCCAACAACAGCCCAAAAACAGGCUACAAAAAAUGGGAUGGGUGUGAAGGAUGUUGUUUCAUGGCCAUUGUGACCAUCCAAAGACAAAUGAAAUGGUAGUGGUGCCAUCAAGCUGUUGGAUUGCUUUUUAUUAGCGGUGCCUGGGCAUCUUGUUAAAGCAGAAGGAAGAAUGUAUGGUACAAAGUACAGGAAAAUACACCAUGGGAAAAUUCAGAUAUGAUAUUAUAAUGUGAUGCUUUGGAGAAGAUACAUUUUGUUUUCAUUUAACUUCCAACUAAAUCCUAACACCAUAAAAUGUUGUAAUUUCA
Molecule: long non-coding RNA, 564 nt
Organism: Xenopus tropicalis (tropical clawed frog)
Lineage: Eukaryota; Metazoa; Chordata; Amphibia; Anura; Pipidae
Exons: 4
Source: RefSeq, a predicted model, not a curated record